This 274-nucleotide ribosomal RNA is filed under the name uncultured bacterium. RNAcentral's name for it is "partial 16S ribosomal RNA". It matches the Rfam family "Bacterial small subunit ribosomal RNA", at positions 523 to 796 of the family's 1533-position model. The record is from RNAcentral.
AUACGUACUGUGCGAACGUUAUUCGGAAUCACUGGGCUUAAAGGGUGUGUAGGCGGCUUUAUAAGUAGGAUGUGAAAUCUCUCGGCUUAACCGAGAAACUGCGUUCUAAACUGUAUAGCUUGAGUAAGAUAGGGGUGUGCGGAACCUCCGGUGGAGCGGUGAAAUGUGUUGAGCUCGGAGGGAACACCAGAAGCGAAGGCGGCACACUGGGUCUUAACUGACGCCGAGACACGAAAGCUAGGGUAGCGAACGGGAUUAGAAACCCCAGUAGUCC